GUGAGGAAUAUUGCGCAAUGGAGGCAACUCUGACGCAGCCAUGCCGCGUGCAGGAAGAAGGCGCUACGCGUUGUAAACUGCUUUUAACCGGGAAGAAACCCCAGGACGUGUCCUGGGUUGACGGUACCGGAGGAAUAAGCACCGGCUAACUUCGUGCCAGCAGCCGCGGUAAUACGAAGGGUGCAAGCGUUAUCCGGAUUCAUUGGGUUUAAAGGGUGCGUAGGCGGAGCGUUAAGUCAGUGGUGAAAUCCUGCAGCGUAACUGUAGACUUGCCAUUGAUACUGGCGCUCUUGAGUGCGCUUGAAGUGGGCGGAAUGUGCCGUGUAGCGGUGAAAUGCUUGGAUAUGGCACAGAACACCAAUUGCGAAGGCAGCUCACUAAGGCGAUACUGACGCUGAGGCACGAAAGCGUGGGGAUCGAACAGGAUUAGAAACCCCUGUAGUCC
RNAcentral lists this ribosomal RNA (445 nucleotides) under uncultured bacterium. RNAcentral's name for it is "partial 16S ribosomal RNA". It matches the Rfam family "Bacterial small subunit ribosomal RNA", at positions 354 to 796 of the family's 1533-position model. The record is from RNAcentral.